Molecule: ribosomal RNA, 496 nt
Filed under: uncultured bacterium
Lineage: Bacteria
Description: partial 16S ribosomal RNA
Rfam family: Bacterial small subunit ribosomal RNA
Source: RNAcentral
ACGAACGCUGGCGGCGUGCCUAAUACAUGCAAGUAGAACGCUGAAGAGAGGAGCUUGCUCUUCUUGGAUGAGUUGCGAACGGGUGAGUAACGCGUAGGUAACCUGCCUUGUAGCGGGGGAUAACUAUUGGAAACGAUAGCUAAUACCGCAUAACAAUGGAUGACACAUGUCAUUUAUUUGAAAGGGGCAAUUGCUCCGCUACAAGAUGGACCUGCGUUGUAUUAGCUAGUAGGUGAGGUAAUGGCUCACCUAGGCGACGAUACAUAGCCGACCUGAGAGGGUGAUCGGCCACACUGGGACUGAGACACGGCCCAGACUCCUACGGGAGGCAGCAGUAGGGAAUCUUCGGCAAUGGGGGCAACCCUGACCGAGCAACGCCGCGUGAGUGAAGAGGGUUUUCGGAUCGUAAAGCUCUGUUGUAAGUCAAGAACGGGUGUGAGAGUGGAAAGUUCACACUGUGACGGUAGCUUACCAGAAAGGGACGGCUAACUACGUG